Molecule: long non-coding RNA, 319 nt
Filed under: Arachis ipaensis
Lineage: Eukaryota; Viridiplantae; Streptophyta; Magnoliopsida; Fabales; Fabaceae
Description: long non-coding RNA (AIPA_LNC002145)
Source: RNAcentral
AAGGCACAAAGCUCUUGCCAAGAGCUUUUUCGGGCUUGCCUUAAGGAAAAUGAGCUUGGAGGCAAAAAUUUUCGCUAAGUUAAACUUGGGCGCUCACAGCAUGACCAUGCCUCAUUCAAAGUGCCAUAACUUGAGCUACAGAUGUCCGAUUGAUGUGCUUCCAGUUGCGUUGGAAAGCUGACAUUUAGAGCUUUCCAACAAUAUAUGGCAAUCUAUAUUUCGUAUGAAAUUGAGGCACGAUUGAAAGGCAUCUUUAAGGACCAAAAAUGAAUCAAAGUGGCUUCACCAGGAUUCGAAGAGGGAGACCAAGGAAAGCAAG